UACGUAGGGGGGCAAGCGUUGUCCGGAAUUAUUGGGCGUAAAGCGCGCGCAGGCGGUUGAUUAAGUUUGGUGUUUAAGCCCGGGGCUCAACCCCGGUUCGCACUGAAAACUGAUCGACUUGAGUGUAGGAGAGGAAAGUGGAAUCCACGUGUAGCGGUGAAAUGCGUAGAGAUGUGGAGGAACACCAGUGGCGAAGGCGACUUUCUGGCCUAUAACUGACGCUGAGGCGGCGAAAAGCGGAUGGGGAGCCAAA
This 253-nucleotide ribosomal RNA is filed under the name uncultured bacterium. RNAcentral's name for it is "partial 16S ribosomal RNA". It matches the Rfam family "Bacterial small subunit ribosomal RNA", at positions 524 to 773 of the family's 1533-position model. The record is from RNAcentral.